GGAUGUGAGGGUGAUCUGGCUGUGACAUCUGUCACCCCAUUGAUCGCCAGGGUUGAUUCGGCUGAUCUGGCUGGCUAGGCGGGUGUCCCCUUCCUCCCUCACCGCUCCAUGUGCGUGUGCGUCCCUCCCGAAGCUGCCCGCUCAGUCGAAGUGGACGGCCUUCCCUAAAUAGAGACGGACCAGUCUUCGGUCGAGGGUAUAUGAGUAGCUGCGCUCCCCUGCUAGAACCUCCAAACAAGCUCUCAAGAAUCUUGAUUUUCCAGGUGGGCUCUAGGCUCGAUUAACAGUGUGAUUAGUAAUGUCCUCA
Unclassified non-coding RNA from Erinaceus europaeus (western European hedgehog), 307 nucleotides. Its record names the gene 7SK. It matches the Rfam family "7SK RNA". Rfam says of the family: 7SK was discovered as an abundant small nuclear RNA in the mid-70s but a possible function has only recently been suggested. Two independent studies have found that 7SK RNA binds the CDK9/cyclin T complex (known as elongation factor P-TEFb). NCBI's taxonomy places the organism in Eukaryota, Metazoa, Chordata, Mammalia, Eulipotyphla, Erinaceidae. The record is from Ensembl.